This 1208-nucleotide long non-coding RNA is filed under the name Equus asinus (donkey). Its description in RNAcentral is "lncRNA (ENSEASG00005028411.1, ENSEASG00020030107.1)". Lineage: Eukaryota; Metazoa; Chordata; Mammalia; Perissodactyla; Equidae. The record is from RNAcentral.
UGAAAAUUCACUCUUACAGGAUUUGGUGGCUAGUUCAGACUAACCAACUUUCCCUGAGUGUCUACUAUAUGCCGUGUGCUUUGUGCUGUGUGAACAACAAUGACUGGCCACAGAGGAAGCACCCCAAGGGCCCAGCAGGCUCUGCGCUCCCACAGCUGCUGGGCCACCUCCCUGGCCAGGCUGCAGGAGCCACAGGCUGACGGACACUCACCACGUGAUUCAGACAACCACCACAGGAUGCUCUGAUGACCAGGCCAGGCAGGGACUUUUCAGAUUCGGAAACUGAUGCCAAAGAAGGGGAGGCCUUGGUCACACAGGACGCCAAGAUCACACAGGAGUUAGUGGCAUGGCCAGAACUCAGAGCCGUGGCUCCCCAUCCAGGACUUUCAACUUGACCAGAUAGACGCAGCAACUUAGGAGGCAGUUGGGAACCGUCAGAGGCAGCAGAGAGAAGAGGCAGCUGACAGCCUGAGAGCGAGGGAAGAGAGAGAAACGCCAUUCAAGCAGAGGAGUCUGGGGUCCUUUGGUCUCAAACGGCAAGGCUGUCGGAGACACGCCCGCCCUGCCCUGGCUCUUGAGACAAAGCACAGUUUAAACACAUCCUGGGGUCCAGCAUUAUUCACAGUAGCCAAGACAUGGGAGCGACCCAAGUGUCAGUGAUGGAUGAAUGGAUAAAGAAAAUGUGGUAUAUGUGUAUACAGCAGUAUUAUUUAGCCAUAAACAGAAGGAAAUCUUGCCAUUUGUGGCAACACGGAUGGACCUUGAGGGCGCUAUGCUAAGAGAAAUGUCAGACGGAGAAAGACAAACACCGUAUGACCUCACUUGUAUGUGGAAUCUAACGUAUAUGGACGUAUUUCUGUGCACGUUAAUCCCUUCCAGUCUUAGCCCUCUUCACAGGUCUCCAAGUGUGUCUGCGUCUGUGAACUCACAUGAGCGUCCCAGCAGCUCUCUGAGUCGGUGGCAUACCCUCAUUUGUAUAGCUGGGGAGACUGAGGCUCAGAAAGGUGAAGUGAGAAGAAAUACUCCUGGGAGGGUCCACGUGUAAUGAAGGCUUGUCUGAUGUCCCUGCCGCUGCCCUUCCCACGCCCAGAAAGUAAAGACAAGGGUCAGGAGGGGCCCUGAGGGAGAGGAAGGGCUGGCUCAGAGGCUGCCCUGCUUGGCCAAGUCCAGCUCCACCCCCCCACCCCCUCCUUGCCUGCUCCAUACAG